This 1755-nucleotide long non-coding RNA is filed under the name Triticum aestivum (bread wheat). Its description in RNAcentral is "long non-coding RNA (TAES_LNC009783)". Lineage: Eukaryota; Viridiplantae; Streptophyta; Magnoliopsida; Poales; Poaceae. The record is from RNAcentral.
GUGCUCUUUCACUCGCCUUCCACUCCCAUCCGGCUGACUUGCUUUCAGUUCAACUCCUCGUAAGUACUCCCCCAUUUCCUUCUGGUAGUGUCGGGUUCUUCUCCCUCUAGCCCCUGCAAUGACUGAUAAACUAGGACCCUUUCCCAUCCCCUGAUUAUGUAUAUGCUUGUGCCUUCUCAGAGAUGAGAAUAUUAUUAUGAUAAAUAGUAGCAAAUGUACGAGUGAGGCGUUUUGGCUCCCAGGAUCAUCUGCACCUGCGCUCAAUAAAAAAAAUCAAAACAAUUACUAGAAGAUUUCAAACAAUUCCAAUUUUUUUUGGCAUGGUAGAUAAUUUGGUGCGUGAUGUCCGCUCCAAAUUUCAAAUCAUUUGGACAUCUGAGUAGCUCUCGGCAAAAAAGACAAAUUUAGGGUCUGUUAAAUAGUGUACUGUUCAUAUACUGUUCUGACCCAAUUUAUCUUUUUUGCUGAGAGCUACUCAAAUGUCCAAAUGUUCUGAAAUUUGGAGCGCACCUCACACACCAAAUUAUCUACCUUGCACAAAAAAAUUGAAUUUUUUCUGAAUUGUUUCUUGAGUGGGUGCAGAUGAGGCCGGGCUCAGAAUUGGAUAUUCGCAAUGUACUACUUACACUUUACUAUGCUUCGUUUUUUAACUUUUACUGAUUGCUACAUUGACGUGAAACUUUUUUAUGUGGUUAAGAGUAUCAAGUCAGAGUGGUAACUUGCGUGUUGUCCUGUCUAUGCAAUAUUAUGCCUGCGAGCUAGAAACCAGAUGCUUCUGCUUUCUUACUCCAUUGAGCCCCUCAUGUGCCCACUCUUCUAUUCUUUUAGCCUCUACUCAGACUAAUAUGACCAAAUACUUCUAAUAUUAGAAGUUGAAGGUGUGCCACUACACUGCAAAUUUCCUACUGUUAUUCUCUGUUUCAAGUGUUGGUUUUGUCUAAUAAUUCUGAAUCAUUCGCCUUUGAAGCUUUUUGACACAAUUUCCACAAUGGUGGAGCUAAUGUUUACUGUUUUGUGUCAUACAAAAUUAUGAGAGUAACUGCAAUGGCUUUUCCUGGAAGAAUGGUGCAAAAUUGUUUGACUGAUGAUACUAUAUUGCUUCCUCCGCAGGUUACAUUCUGGUGACUGAAAUGAAGGAAUGGGUUGUUCGCUGUAGUGUCUACUAUUUUGUAUGUUCGACGCGCAGAUUGGCUCUCUAUGUAGCAUGCACCGGUCAGCUGUGAAGUCCAUUUGUAGCAAUCAAUUGCUUAAUUUGACAAUUUCUAUGCUCUUCAUGAAGGGAACAUUGACUUGCUUCGUUUAAUUAGUACUCUGUACUUCACUUGUCGUUCCUUUAGUUUGCUGCUUUUCAAGCAAGCUCACCUAUGAAUUGUCUGCUUGCAUUUGGUGUGUGCGCAAGUUGGUUGCGUUUGGUUAUCUCGUGCCUUGUAUAUUGCUCGUGUUCCACAAUGUCGCAUUGCGCGUGCGUGUGUGGAAUUUCCAUCUGGUUCCGAACUCGGUAUUUUGAAACAUGGUUCUGAGUAAUGAAUGUCGAAUCGCAGCAGUAUUUCUACUUGGGAACUGGGAAGCAGUUCCUGUUUGUUAAACUACACCUUACAUAGAUACUCCUGUUUCAGUGCUAGUUUGGAUGCUGGGAAGGCUUCUUAAUCUGGAUGUUGUGAUCCGGACAUUAGCGCGGAUUUGCUUCUACACAUCGCUGACCGCACCCACUUUAAGAUUCACAGUCUUUUAAGAUUACAUCAGUGGUGUGAUGAU